GGCACCUUGCUAGAGUGGUCCAAUAGACGGGUCUGCAAAACCUUGGUUCGUGAGUUCGAAUCUCACAGGUGCCUCCA
Molecule: transfer RNA, 77 nt
Filed under: Candidatus Altimarinota bacterium
Lineage: Bacteria; Candidatus Altimarinota
Description: tRNA-Cys
Rfam family: tRNA
About the family: Transfer RNA (tRNA) molecules are approximately 80 nucleotides in length. Their secondary structure includes four short double-helical elements and three loops (D, anti-codon, and T loops).
Source: RNAcentral